RNAcentral lists this ribosomal RNA (625 nucleotides) under Citrobacter freundii. RNAcentral's name for it is "partial 23S ribosomal RNA". It matches the Rfam family "Bacterial large subunit ribosomal RNA", at positions 614 to 1240 of the family's 2925-position model. The record is from RNAcentral. Lineage: Bacteria; Pseudomonadati; Pseudomonadota; Gammaproteobacteria; Enterobacterales; Enterobacteriaceae.
AAUGGGUCAGCGACUUAUAUUCUGUAGCAAGGUUAACCGUAUAGGGGAGCCGAAGGGAAACCGAGUCUUAACUGGGCGUUAAGUUGCAGGGUAUAGACCCGAAACCCGGUGAUCUAGCCAUGGGCAGGUUGAAGGUUGGGUAACACUAACUGGAGGACCGAACCGACUAAUGUUGAAAAAUUAGCGGAUGACUUGUGGCUGGGGGUGAAAGGCCAAUCAAACCGGGAGAUAGCUGGUUCUCCCCGAAAGCUAUUUAGGUAGCGCCUCGUGAAUUCAUCUUCGGGGGUAGAGCACUGUUUCGGCUAGGGGGUCAUCCCGACUUACCAACCCGAUGCAAACUGCGAAUACCGAAGAAUGUUAUCACGGGAGACACACGGCGGGUGCUAACGUCCGUCGUGAAGAGGGAAACAACCCAGACCGCCAGCUAAGGUCCCAAAGUCAUGGUUAAGUGGGAAACGAUGUGGGAAGGCACAGACAGCCAGGAUGUUGGCUUAGAAGCAGCCAUCAUUUAAAGAAAGCGUAAUAGCUCACUGGUCGAGUCGGCCUGCGCGGAAGAUGUAACGGGGCUAAACCAUGCACCGAAGCUGCGGCAGCGACACUAUGUGUUGUUGGGUAGGGGAGCGUU